Molecule: ribosomal RNA, 460 nt
Filed under: uncultured bacterium
Lineage: Bacteria
Description: partial 16S ribosomal RNA
Rfam family: Bacterial small subunit ribosomal RNA
Source: RNAcentral
CCUACGGGAGGCAGCAGUGAGGAAUAUUGGUCAAUGGACGAGAGUCUGAACCAGCCAAGUAGCGUGAAGGAUGACUGCCCUAUGGGUUGUAAACUUCUUUUAUAUGGGAAUAAAACGUUCCACGUGUGGGAUUUUGUAUGUACCAUAUGAAUAAGGAUCGGCUAACUCCGUGCCAGCAGCCGCGGUAAUACGGAGGAUCCGAGCGUUAUCCGGAUUUAUUGGGUUUAAAGGGAGCGUAGGUGGAUUGUUAAGUCAGUUGUGAAAGUUUGCGGCUCAACCGUAAAAUUGCAGUUGAAACUGGCAGUCUUGAGUACAGUAGAUGUGAGCGGAAUUCGUGGUGUAGCGGUGAAAUGCUUAGAUAUCACGAAGAACUCCGAUUGCGAAGGCAGUUCACUGGACUGCAACUGACACUGAGGCUCGAAAGUGUGGGUAUCAAACAGGAUUAGAUACCCUUGUAGUC